UGAGGAAUAUUGGACAAUGGGCGGAAGCCUGAUCCAGCCAUGCCGCGUGCAGGAAGACUGCCCUAUGGGUUGUAAACUGCUUUUAUACAGGAAGAAACCCCGGUACGUGUACUGGGCUGACGGUACUGUAAGAAUAAGCAUCGGCUAACUCCGUGCCAGCAGCCGCGGUAAUACGGAGGAUGCAAGCGUUAUCCGGAAUCAUUGGGUUUAAAGGGUCCGUAGGUGGAUAAUUAAGUCAGAGGUGAAAUCCUGCAGCUUAACUGUAGCAUUGCCUUUGAUACUGGUUAUCUUGAAUUAUUGUGAAGUAGUUAGAAUAUGUAGUGUAGCGGUGAAAUGCAUAGAUAUUACAUAGAAUACCGAUUGCGAAGGCAGAUUACUAACAAUAUAUUGACACUGAUGGACGAAAGCGUGGGGAGCGAACA
Molecule: ribosomal RNA, 422 nt
Filed under: uncultured bacterium
Lineage: Bacteria
Description: bacterial SSU rRNA
Rfam family: Bacterial small subunit ribosomal RNA
Source: RNAcentral